RNAcentral lists this ribosomal RNA (403 nucleotides) under uncultured bacterium. Its description in RNAcentral is "bacterial SSU rRNA". It matches the Rfam family "Bacterial small subunit ribosomal RNA", at positions 355 to 776 of the family's 1533-position model. The record is from RNAcentral.
UGGGGAAUAUUGCACAAUGGAGGAAACUCUGAUGCAGCGACGCCGCGUGAGCGAAGAAGGUCUUCGGAUUGUAAAGCUCUGUCCUAAAGGAAGAUAAUGACAGUACUUUAGGAGGAAGCCCCGGCUAACUACGUGCCAGCAGCCGCGGUAAUACGUAGGGGGCGAGCGUUGUCCGGAAUUAUUGGGCGUAAAGGGUACGUAGGCGGUUUUUUAAGUCAUCUGUGAAAGCAUAGGGCUCAACCCUGUCAAGCAGUUGAAACUGGAAGACUUGAGUAGUGGAGAGGAAAGUGGAAUUCCUAGUGUAGCGGUGAAAUGCGUAGAUAUUAGGAGGAAUACCGGUGGCGAAGGCGACUUUCUGGACACUAACUGACGCUGAGGUACGAAAGCGUGGGGAGCAAACAGG